Molecule: long non-coding RNA, 1199 nt
Filed under: Parus major (Great Tit)
Lineage: Eukaryota; Metazoa; Chordata; Aves; Passeriformes; Paridae
Description: lncRNA (ENSPMJG00000001297.1)
Source: RNAcentral
CAUAAAUACAUAACAAUAACACAUAAAUAACGUCAUUGUUCUAAGCAGUCCCAGAUAGUUGGAGGGGUGGAAGUUUAGGCUUCUGAUGAGGGAGCCUCUGCAAAGGAAAGGCAGAAGGCUCAAAGAAUUGAGGAAAGAAUCUUAACUGUACUUUCUGUUUGCUCUUUGUUGCUCAGGACCUGAAGUACUAAGGUUGCUAAGUGGCUUGAAAAUUUCUGAGACUUUUUUUUUUCCCCAAGUGGAAUAAAAGCAGUACAGACAAGCACAUUUGUUAUAGUUCUGUGUUUAGCUGGAAUGUAGAGGGACUUCUGAGGGCAAAACCCUUGUUUUGGGAUCUGACUCAAGAAAGCAUUUUUGCUUCCUCUUCUUGUUACCAAAAAUAAAAAGCAUUAUUAAGCAAUAUUUGCAGCUAUGCCAGGGAAGCUGUAUUGCUUCCAUGUGAUUGCACAGAGUAUUGACAGAGAACACUAUGAAAAGGACUCAGAAACACGGGAUAUUUGGAGAGGAGAGCUCAGAGGGCACCACAAGCUAAGCUAAAGCCUGAGAUAUCAGCUCAGAUGUAAGAGGCAGAGGCUUUUGAAUCUGGAAAUGAAAUGCCUAAAUGUCAAAGGUUGGAAUGUAGUGAAGAUCAGCCCAUUUUGUCACCAGUGCUCAAGUGAAGCUACAGGAUUUUCUGGAAAAGAACAAAAAGCAGCCAUCAUACUACUCUUAUGCACCUGAGCAGCUGCAUUAGACUUAGCAAUUAUUAAGUCCUCAAGGCAAUUUAUCAAAUUAGCCUUGCAAUAAUACAUACCUUUUUCCAUAGGCUAUACCAUUAGCAUGCCAAAUUUUGACUGUAUCAAAUAGUAAAAACUUCUCCUUAAUAUAAGUCUUUCACCUCACAAAAGUGAAAUGAGUUUGAUAUAUUCUACAUUUUCAUCUUGUUUCAUAUGAAUUGAAAAAUACUAAAAUGCACAAAAAUGUUUCCCUGAUUAUCUUCUUAAUCUGAUUUCUUGCUAAAUGUGAUUAUUGCAGAUGCAGUCCCACUCAGCAGAUUUGUCAUGACAAAAUAGCCAUAGUUUAGCGUGGGAGAUGGAAAGUGGCUGAAUUUGAGGUCAUAUGUGAUGAGUCAGAUAUUUUAGCUGGAAAAAAUUCUUUCUAAACAACAAGGUCAGGUUAACUCUGCUAGAACCAGACAAACCAGCAGUUUUGGAAUGCUU